GAUGAACGCUGGCGGCGUGCCUAAUACAUGCAAGUCGAGCGAACAGAUAAGGAGCUUGCUCCUUUGACGUUAGCGGCGGACGGGUGAGUAACACGUGGGUAACCUACCUAUAAGACUGGGAUAACUUCGGGAAACCGGAGCUAAUACCGGAUAACAUUUGGUACCGCAUGGUUCUAAAGUGAAAGAUGGUUUUGCUAUCACUUAUAGAUGGACCCGCGCCGUAUUAGCUAGUUGGUAAGGUAACGGCUUACCAAGGCGACGAUACGUAGCCGACCUGAGAGGGUGAUCGGCCACACUGGAACUGAGACACGGUCCAGACUCCUACGGGAGGCAGCAGUAGGGAAUCUUCCGCAAUGGGCGAAAGCCUGACGGAGCAACGCCGCGUGAGUGAUGAAGGGUUUCGGCUCGUAAAACUCUGUUAUUAGGGAAGAACAAACGUGUAAGUAACUGUGCACGUCUUGACGGUACCUAAUCAGAAAGCCACGGCUAACUACGUG
Molecule: ribosomal RNA, 497 nt
Filed under: uncultured bacterium
Lineage: Bacteria
Description: partial 16S ribosomal RNA
Rfam family: Bacterial small subunit ribosomal RNA
Source: RNAcentral